GCUCCGGUGGCCUAGUGGUUAGAGCAUCCGCCUCGGGUGCGGCAGGUCAUGGAUUCCAUCCCCGGUCGAGUCA
Molecule: non-coding RNA, 73 nt
Organism: Potamilus streckersoni
Lineage: Eukaryota; Metazoa; Mollusca; Bivalvia; Unionida; Unionidae
Source: the annotation of a GenBank genome assembly